GUAGGUGGCAAGCGUUGUCCGGAAUUAUUGGGCGUAAAGCGCGCGCAGGCGGUUCUUUAAGUCUGAUGUGAAAGCCCACGGGCUCAACCGUGGAGGGUCAUUGGAAACUGGAGAACUUGAGUACAGAAGAGGAAAGCGGAAUUCCACGUGUAGCGGUGAAAUGCGUAGAGAUGUGGAGGAACACCAGUGGCGAAGGCGGCUUUCUGGUCUGUAACUGACGCUGAGGCACGAAAGCGUGGGGAGCAAACAGGAUUAGAUACCCUGGUAGUCCACGCCGUAAACGAUGAGUGCUAAGUGUUAGGGGGUUUCCGCCCCUUAGUGCUGCAGCUAACGCAUUAAGCACUCCGCCUGGGGAGUACGGCCGCAAGGCUG
Molecule: ribosomal RNA, 372 nt
Filed under: uncultured organism
Description: partial 16S ribosomal RNA
Rfam family: Bacterial small subunit ribosomal RNA
Source: RNAcentral